AAGCAUGAUUGGGACAUUCUACUAGUAAACUCUUGAAUCUCUUGUAAGUGUCACGAAGAGAUUCUCCCUCUUUCUGUUUGUAACUGGAAAUCUCUUGCCUUUUUCU
Cicer arietinum (chickpea) is the source of this 106-nucleotide small nucleolar RNA. The record is from RefSeq and is a predicted model, not a curated record. NCBI's taxonomy places the organism in Eukaryota, Viridiplantae, Streptophyta, Magnoliopsida, Fabales, Fabaceae.